CCCCAGCGCCACAAGUGGCAAUCACAUUUAUUGGGCCUAAAGCGUCCGUAGCAGGUUUAUCAAAUCUUUUGUGAAACUGUUAAGCUUAACUUAACAAAUUGCAGGAGACACUUGUAAACUUGGGACCGGGAGGGGUCAGGAGUAUUUUGAGGGGAGCGGUAAAAUGUUAUAAUCCUCAAAAGACUACCGGUGGCGAAGGCGCCUGACCAGAACGGAUCCGACUGUGAGGGACGAAAGCUAGGGGA
Molecule: ribosomal RNA, 245 nt
Filed under: uncultured archaeon
Lineage: Archaea
Description: partial 16S ribosomal RNA
Rfam family: Archaeal small subunit ribosomal RNA
Source: RNAcentral